RNAcentral lists this ribosomal RNA (830 nucleotides) under uncultured crenarchaeote. Its description in RNAcentral is "bacterial SSU rRNA". It matches the Rfam family "Archaeal small subunit ribosomal RNA", at positions 52 to 859 of the family's 1478-position model. Lineage: Archaea; Thermoproteati; Thermoproteota. The record is from RNAcentral.
UGCUAGUCGAGCGCCUUCCAGCCACGAAGAAGGCGCGGCACACAGCUCAGUAACACGUAGCUAACCUGCCCUCGGGACGAGAACACCCCCGGGAAACUGGGGCUAAUUCUCGAUAGGCGAAGAACUCUGGAAUGAGUCUUUACCCAAAAGACGUUUAGAUCAUGCUUCUAGGCGUCGCCCAAGGAUGGGGCUGCGACCGAUCAGGUAGUUGGUGAGGCAAUGGCUCACCAAGCCUUUAACCGGUGCGGGCCGUGGGAGCGGGAGCCCGGAGAUGGGCACUGAGACAAGGGCCCAGGCCCUACGGGGCGCAGCAGUCGCGAAAACUUUGCAAUAAGCGAAAGCUUGACAGGGCUAUCCCGAGUGCCAUCCGCUGAGGAAGGCUUUUACCCAGUCUAGUAAGCUGGGGGAAUAAGGAGAGGGCAAGUCUGGUGUCAGCCGCCGCGGUAAUACCAGCUCUCCGAGUGGUGUGGAUGUUUAUUGGGCCUAAAGCAUCCGUAGCUGGCUGAGCUAGUCCCCUGUUAAAUCCACCGAAUCAAUCGUUGGAUUGCGGGGGAUACUGCUCGGCUAGGGGACGGGAGAGGCAGACGGUAUUUCCGGGGUAAGGGUGAAAUCUUAUAAUCCCGGGAAGACCACCAGUGGCGAAGGCUGUCUGCUAGAACGCGCCCGACGGUGAGGGAUGAAAGCUGGGGUAGCGAACCGGAUUAGAUACCCGGGUAGUCCCAGCCGUAAACGAUGCAGCUAGGUGUUUGGGCGGCCACGUGCCGCUCUAGUGCCGCAGGAAGCUGUUAAGCCUGCCGCCUGGGGAGUACGAUCGCAAGAUUGAAACUUAA